Molecule: ribosomal RNA, 432 nt
Filed under: uncultured bacterium
Lineage: Bacteria
Description: partial 16S ribosomal RNA
Rfam family: Bacterial small subunit ribosomal RNA
Source: RNAcentral
ACGAACGCUGGCGGCAUGCCUCACACAUGCCAGUCGAACGAGACCUUCGGGUCUAGUGGCGCACGGGUGCGUCACGCGUGGGAACCUGCCCUUAGGUUCGGAAUAACUCCCCGAAAGGGGUGCUAAUACCGGAUAAUGUCUUCGGACCAAAGAUUUAUCGCCUUUGGAUGGGCCCGCGUUGGAUUAGCUAGUUGGUAGGGUAAAAGCCUACCAAGGCGACGAUCCAUAGCUGGUCUGAGAGGAUGAUCAGCCACACUGGGACUGAGACACGGCCCAGACUCCUACGGGAGGCAGCAGUGGGGAAUAUUGGACAAUGGGCGAAAGCCUGAUCCAGCAAUGCCGCGUGAGUGAUGAAGGCCUUAGGGUUGUAAAGCUCUUUUACCCGGGAUGAUAAUGACAGUACCGGGAGAAUAAGCUCCGGCUAACUCCGUG